GGGCACUAGGUGUNGGGGGCCUUUUCCGGUUUUUCCGCGCCGUAGCUAACGCAUUAAGUGCCCCGCNUGGGGAGUACGGCCGCAAGGCUAAAACUCAAAGGAAUUGACGGGGGCCCGCACAAGCGGCGGAGCAUGCGGAUUAAUUCGAUGCAACGCGAAGAACCUUACCAAGGCUUGACAUGUGCCGGUUUGNUCCGGAGACGGGGUUUCCUCCUUGUGGGGUCGGUUCACAGGUGGUGCAUGGUUGUCGUCAGCUCGUGUCGUGAGAUGUUGGGUUAAGUCCCGCAACGAGCGCAACCCUUGUCCCGUGUUGCCAGCACGUUGUGGUGGGGACUCGCGGGAGACUGCCGGGGUCAACUCGGAGGAAGGUGGGGAUGACGUCAAAUCAUCAUGCCCCUUAUGUCUUGGGCUUCACGCAUGCUACAAUGGCCGGUACAGAGGGCUGCGAUACCGUGAGGUGGAGCGAAUCCCUUAAAGCCGGUCUCAGUUCGGAUCGGUGUCUGCAACUCGACACCGUGAAGUUGGAGUCGCUAGUAAUCGCAGAUCAGCAACGCUGCGGUGAAUACGUUCUCGGGCCUUGUACACACCGCCCGUCACGUCAUGAAAGUCGGCAACACCCGAAGCCCGUGGCCUUAUGGGG
Molecule: ribosomal RNA, 640 nt
Filed under: uncultured bacterium
Lineage: Bacteria
Description: bacterial SSU rRNA
Rfam family: Bacterial small subunit ribosomal RNA
Source: RNAcentral